AGAGAGAGAGAGAGGAGAGAGAGAGGAUAGAAGCCGUAAAAGCCUAAGCAGAGAGAGCCAGAGAGAGAAAUCGAGAGAUAAUAAGGACAUGGAAAGAGAACACUUCAAUAUUCCUCCUCUUACCUGUUAGCAGGCAUUUGCUAGGACAGGGUUUCCAUGGAACUGACUUAGUACGGCAUAGGGGGGAGGACGUGGGUUUAGGAAAGGUGCAAGAACAUGUUUCUACCGCUGAUGAAAUAAGGGUGUGUUAGUGAGGAGCAGCGUGUUCACAGGUUGAAGGGGGGUCGAGCAGGAAAAGGACAGGGAAGUUAAAGGCAAGGUAGAGCUUGGGCUGUUUCACACAACAGGGUCACGACCUUGAGACCCACACACACACUCUGCUGUCUGGCCUGGCUGGUUGGAGAGGCUUCAGUGAUACCUGAUACAGCCAGGCGAACAUGAUACAAGCCAACAACUGGAUGGAAUUGGUCAUGGCAGAUUUGAAACUCAGUGAUAGUUUAGGUGUUAAGGGUUCAGGUUAUUUUCCCUUGUUCCCUCACAUCUGACUUGUAAUGGAUUGAUUUUCAGCAUGGAGCAGACCUGUGGUCGAGGAACACCGACCACAAAACCCCUGUAGGUCAUAAAGCCACUAUUGGUAGAGCUGGAGCUGGUGGCCAGAAAACCAAGAACAACAUCCCCAAGCAACCGCCAGAAAAAGUGUUUUCCCCUUAACCUCAACCCCAGUGACGGUGGGCCCCUUCCUGGUGUGGGGGGGCAGUGCCCCUGUUCAAGGCCACCCUCCUGUCUGACUGCCUGAAACCAAAGGACCAGCUCAGGAUCCCUGACCGCAGGCCUGAGGAGAGCCUCCGUGCCAGCCCUGCCACUCUGCCCCUCCUCCCGUCCCUCCCCCCAGGCCCGGGCCCCUGCCCCUGUCCCCUAAGCCCGGGGCCAGGAGGCCCAUGCUGGGCGGAGAGGGUGGCCAUGCCCCCAGUUUUCUCCACGAGCUCAACACGGUACUGAGCAAGACCGGGACGCAUCGCCAAGGAGGAGAGCUGAGGGGGGGGGGGGGGAGAACGAGGGAGAGUCCGGAGGAGUCUUCCGGAAGGCAUCGGGGGAAGACACUCGGCGUGAAAGUACUUACGUUCGGAGAGGACGGCGCCCUUUUUCACAGAGGACGACGCGCAUUUAGGAAUUCCCAACAGAGUGAGGGGGUGGAGAGAGCGCAAAAAAAAAAAAAACGAUUGUGACUGUUGAUGUAAGACACAACAAAAUGACUCCCUGCCCGAAUUACAAAAACGGAUCCUAAUGAGACUGAAAAAAAAGAGUUGGAAAGAGGACAGAGGAUAAAAAAUGGAGCCAAUGAGACUGAAAAA
Long non-coding RNA from Hypomesus transpacificus, 1352 nucleotides. RefSeq lists it as uncharacterized. The record is from RefSeq and is a predicted model, not a curated record. NCBI's taxonomy places the organism in Eukaryota, Metazoa, Chordata, Actinopteri, Osmeriformes, Osmeridae. The transcript is spliced from 2 exons.